GGGGCAUCAAGUGGUGGCAACGAAACCUUUUUGCAACUAUCUAUUGAUUCUCUUGGCACAAAUUCAGUAUCUUCAAAUGGUGAAGAAGUGGAGGAGGAGUAGCGGAGAAGCGAGGAGGAGAGGCGGAGGAGCAGCGGAGAAGCGAAGAGGAGUCGCGGAGGAAUAGCGGAGAAGGGAGAAGUGAGAGAAAUACUUUGCAUUUUGAGACGUUUAUAUAUUUUGCAUUAUAUUUUUCUUU
This 238-nucleotide unclassified non-coding RNA is filed under the name Hevea brasiliensis (rubber tree). Lineage: Eukaryota; Viridiplantae; Streptophyta; Magnoliopsida; Malpighiales; Euphorbiaceae. The record is from RNAcentral.